This 784-nucleotide ribosomal RNA is filed under the name uncultured bacterium. RNAcentral's name for it is "bacterial SSU rRNA". It matches the Rfam family "Bacterial small subunit ribosomal RNA", at positions 74 to 847 of the family's 1533-position model. The record is from RNAcentral.
GUCUCUUCGGGGAUGAUUAAACCGGCGCACGGGUGAGUAACACGUGAGUGACCUGCCUUUUAGACUGGAACAACUUACCGAAAGGUGAGCUAAUGCCGGAUGAGUUAUAUAAGUGCAUGUUUAUAUAGGAAAAGUUGGGGAGACCUGACGCUGAAAGAUGGACUCGCGUCCCAUUAGCUAGUUGGUAGGGUAAUGGCCUACCAAGGCGACGAUGGGUAGCCGGCCUGAGAGGGUGGCCGGCCACACUGGGACUGAGACACGGCCCAGACUCCUACGGGAGGCAGCAGUGGGGAAUUUUGCGCAAUGCUCGUAAGAGUGACGCAGCGACGCCGCGUGAAUGACGAAGGCCUUCGGGUCGUAAAGUUCUUUCGACAGGGAAGAAAAUGCCCAUAAGUAACUGUGUAUGCAUUGACGGUACCUGUAUAAGCAGCCCCGGCUAACUCCGUGCCAGCAGCCGCGGUAAUACGGAGGGGGCGAGCGUUGUUCGGAGUGACUGGGCGUAAAGAGCACGUAGGCGGUGUUGUAAGUCAUUAGUCAAAGACUAGAGCUCAACUUUAGUAAGGCUAGUGAUACUAUAAUACUAGAGUAUCAGAGAGGAUUGCAGAAUUCCUGGUGUAGCGGUGAAAUGCGUAGAUAUCAGGAGGAAUACCGUUAGCGAAGGCGGCAAUCUGGCUGGAAACUGACGCUGAGGUGCGAAAGCGUGGGUAGCAAACAGGAUUAGAUACCCUGGUAGUCCACGCUGUAAACGAUGGAUGCUAGGUGUUGGGCUUUUAAGUUCAGUGCC